Molecule: long non-coding RNA, 347 nt
Organism: Onychostoma macrolepis
Lineage: Eukaryota; Metazoa; Chordata; Actinopteri; Cypriniformes; Cyprinidae
Exons: 3
Source: RefSeq, a predicted model, not a curated record
CAGAUUCGGAUCACUCGGUAUUUGUUUAUUUUACUUUGUAGAGUAGCUAAAUAGCGGUGUCGCGGCGUCAUUAACAAAACUUAGCAGUUAUGAUUCACCUAUAAGAGGUACAUUCUCUGAAGGAGGCAUGAUCUCAGCCACCAGCAGCUGAAACACGGUGAGCGCCAGCAUCACGGUGACUCCCAGUGACACCUUCUCCCCAGAGUCUGCAGUUUCAGAGUAUACGUCACAUCCGGAUAAGGGUCUGCACAGCAGCCGUACAGAAUGAUGUUUUUCUUGGCUGGCAUUCCCAGCACCUCCCAUUCCACGUUGUCCACCAAGUCUGCGAGAUCUGCACUCUCCAUGGC